RNAcentral lists this ribosomal RNA (253 nucleotides) under uncultured bacterium. RNAcentral's name for it is "partial 16S ribosomal RNA". It matches the Rfam family "Bacterial small subunit ribosomal RNA", at positions 524 to 776 of the family's 1533-position model. The record is from RNAcentral.
UACAGAGGUCCCAAGCGUUGUUCGGAUUUACUGGGCGUAAAGGGUGCGUAGGUGGUCGGGUAAGUCUGAUGUGAAAGCUCGGAGCUUAACUCCGAAACGGCAUCGGAUACUAUUCGGCUCGAGGGUUGGAGGGGGGACUGGAAUUCUCGGUGUAGCAGUGAAAUGCGUAGAUAUCGAGAGGAACACCAGUGGCGAAGGCGAGUCCCUGGACAACUCCUGACGCUGAGGCACGAAAGCUAGGGGAGCAAACAGG